Molecule: long non-coding RNA, 2096 nt
Filed under: Mus spicilegus (steppe mouse)
Lineage: Eukaryota; Metazoa; Chordata; Mammalia; Rodentia; Muridae
Description: lncRNA (ENSMSIG00000012587.1)
Source: RNAcentral
GAGACCACAAACCCAUUUUUUGAAGGCACGGUAAAUGUUCCCUAAGCUUGGACAAAUGGAGAUCAAAGCAGGACCUAUUGGGCUGGAAACCUCAGAACCCCUCCAAAUUCUGCUUCCUUGGUUGCAUUGGGUUUCCAUAGCAACCAAGGGGCUUCAGUAAAGAUGGUGAGUGGGGAAUUAAAAGACAGAGAGCAGAGAAGAGAGGAGGAGUAAGUGGUGGGGAGACAGAUGGGGAGCUGGCAGGAACUCCGGGGGGAUCCCCAAGUCCCAUGUUAUUCUGGAAGGUUGUGCCAAGAAGGAUCUGUUGGUUGCUCUCCCUCCCAUCUGGGUCUCGCUGCACCCUAAGAAGUGACUGUCCAUCUGGGCAGGCCCAGAGCUGAUCGCUUGUGAGCCCCCUCCCUCUGCUUGGCAGACACUGAGCGAGGCCUGGACUCUAUCCCUCAGCAAAAAACAUGAGGAAGCCCUGGGCUGAUUCAGGGAAGACUUGCUUGCCCUUCCUUGCUUGGCUGUCAGUGGAAGGAGAAAGGACUGUCCAGGCACUGUCCCCGGCUGAACAUAGUCCUUUGCCCUGACAUUUGGGGAUCGUGGCCUAGCUCCCAGUGGUUAAAGAUCGUAUGGCUCGAGUGUAGGACCUGACUGGAAGUACUCAGAACAAGAGCCCAGGCCUGGGUGCUGCUCUGAGAUAUGCAGGAGAAGCCUGAAGAAAGCCCUUCUGGAGUGGCAACCUGUUCCUCCCUCUGGGAAAUACCUGAGCCUGAAGUCUGCAAGGGAUCCUGGGAGGACCCAUGACAUCUGCCAGCAGCCUGGACACCUUGGUCCUGAGACCCAGGACAACUGUGUGGAGAACAGAUCUGGAAUGGAUCACUUGAUCUUGUGUAUGCUGGACAAAGGCUUCAGAUUCAACCAUUUCAAUUUGACAAACACCAUCACAUUUCAGGACAUCAUCCUCCACAAAGAAAUCCUGCGUUCCAUCCUAACAAAUACCUGUGCUAUACUUCACCGUUCUGCUUGCCUCCUGCCCUGCCUCCUUUGGUUUCUUCGACAGCCUUCCCUGGAGUCACUGCCUUCUACACAGUGCCUAAGAGCAAGCCCAUGAAACAUUCAUGGUGGGUAAUCCACUGUGGAGGACCUACUGAUAGCUGUCCUGAUAGAACAGGCAGGUCAUCAGAGGCUGGGCUUGGGCUCAGGUUCCAGCCACUUCCCUGAAACUGGUCCUGAUUCUCCCAAGGGAAGGCUGGAAGUUCAGAUCCUGAGCUGCUAGCAGACGUUCCUGUGACGGGAUGUGAUGUAGCAGCUCAGGGAGGGAGAGUGGUUUCAAGGUUACCCAUAAGUGAGGUGCGGUUUGUUAGUUGAGGGUCUAAGAGCCAGGAGACAAAAAUGAGCCAAAUGACUCAAGAGCUAAAAAGGGCCUGGGUCUGUGCUGAGUGAGAGGAGGGGGACAGAGCCUAAGUUUGUGGUAUCUGAAAUUUCUUUUCUUUUCUUUCUUUUUUUUUUUUUUGUUUGUUUUUUUCGAGACAGGGUUUUUCUAUGUAGCCUUGGCUGUCCUGGAAUUCACUCUGUAGACCAGGCUGGCCUUGAACUCAGAAAUCCGUCUGCCUCUGCCUCCCAAGUGCUGGGAUUAAAGGCGUGCACCACCACACCCGGCUGUUUCAACCUUCCUAAAGCUGCAACCCUUUACAGUUCCUCGUGCUGUGGUGACCACCAGCCAUAAAAUUAUUUUGUUGCUCCUGUAGCUGUGAUUUUGCUAGUGUUAUGGAUUGUAAUGUAAAUACCUGAUAUGCAGAAUAUUUGAUAUAUGGCCCCUAUGAAAAAGUCAUUUGACCGACAAAGGCCUUGCAAACCAAAGGUUGAGAACAGCUGGCCCGAGAGAUAGGCCUGCGAGACCAGGGGAUCUAUCCUGGAUCCGAUUAGAAUGGUCAGCAUCAACGUUUGUGUGAGUAGGGGAGUCCAGCGGGUGCUUUAGAAUGUCACUCUUUGGACCAGUGGCUUCUGUGGGCAGGGACUCUGGGGGAGGAGCUGGGCCACCUGAGUAAGGGCUCUGAGGUCAGGCGUGCAGAUUGACACCAUCACUGGUACCGUAAGAAGAAGAUGCACUG